RNAcentral lists this transfer-messenger RNA (356 nucleotides) under Paracoccus sp. (in: a-proteobacteria). It matches the Rfam family "Alphaproteobacteria transfer-messenger RNA". Rfam says of the family: Bacterial tmRNA, also known as 10Sa RNA or SsrA, is named for its dual tRNA and mRNA-like properties. Its role is to liberate the mRNA from a stalled ribosome. The record is from RNAcentral. Lineage: Bacteria; Pseudomonadati; Pseudomonadota; Alphaproteobacteria; Rhodobacterales; Paracoccaceae.
GCACUUGCACCGGCGGGUCGGGCAUCCUAUAUCUGAUCCUGUUCGGGGCAACCCGGACUAUGGACAUAAACGCGCAUGGAAUAAGCGGAUCGGACCCGGGGGCGGUACCCGGCGGCUCCACCAAACACCCUUCGUUGGGGGAACAUGGGGCCGAAACAGGAUCGACGAACGUCUAAAGCUGUUUGCUUUGUCUCGGUGAGCUACCACCGUUAUCGGUGCAAAAUGUACAGUUGCCAACGACAACCGUGCUCCGGUCGCUCUGGCUGCGUAAGCAGCUCGAAAGACCGAAACUUAAGUCCUUACGCCUAGCAGCCUAAGGCGGGGUCCGCAGGAACCUGGCAACAGAAUCCUGCACU